Molecule: RNA transcript, 1630 nt
Organism: Rhododendron vialii
Lineage: Eukaryota; Viridiplantae; Streptophyta; Magnoliopsida; Ericales; Ericaceae
Exons: 3
Source: RefSeq, a predicted model, not a curated record
UCUUGUUGUUUUUUUGUUAGGUGAAAUGGUAAUUUCACUGCUUGGAUUUAUUGCGCUACGUGUUUGUUUGUUGGGUCUUACAGGGUUCUGUGGCAAAAGGGGGUGAACAUUUAUGUUUGGGUGGAGGCUGGAGCUAUGUAUAAUGUAUAUCUAGGCUGGUCUUUAUUUCCUCUGGUGAGAGAGAGAGAGAGAGAGAGAGAGUCUCUCUGCACCUCUCUGUAAUCGGCCUUCAAUCCUAAAAAAAACUCCACUUUGCAUCUCUGUUGUAGCCCAAGAUUCAAGAGUUUCAGGUGAUUUUGAGUUCGACGAUGACGGAGUUUCAGGCGGUUUGGGACUUCGCUGACGACGAUCCAGUCGGAGGGGGCGUUGCUUCUACGUUCUCUAUGGUUUUGCCAUUGGGAAGAUUUGGGUCUCAGAGAUUUGAUGAAGGUUGUUAAGCUACAUACGAUGUUUGUGGCGAAUCCUUCAUCUGUUUUGGCUGCCACUCAAACACCAGGAGAAGCGGGAAAAAAGUGGUUACAAGGAGUAGCUGAUUAUAUUUUACAUGGGUAUUUAAGGUGUGUGCUAAGCUUAUAAUCAUUCACUAUCAAUCUGUUUUUAAUCUUUGGAACUUGAAAAUAACUAAUUGUGGUAUUGAUGAUUUUAAUAGGAUGCCAAGAAGAAAAACGUGGAGCACAUACUAAUUUUGUCCGGUGAUCAUCUCUACUGGAUGGAUUACAUGGACUUUGUGCAGGUACUUACAUUUUUAUAAAAAUAAUGUCACAUCCAAAGUGUUUAGUUGAUUGCUUAUUAAGCAACUUAAUUGCAUAAGUAUGUCGGCUCACAAGCUAAUGUCAUGGUUUCAUGUGUCCCCAUGGAUGAUAGGUAUUUUAUAGUCUUCAGGUUGAGCAUAGUUCCUACUCAUUCGGAGGCCUCAAACUCUCAUUCGGAGUUGGAGACUCAUCGCCAAAGAAGUCAGUGAGAGCCCGGAAAGAUGGAGAUAAAUGUAUGUCGUCUUGAUUUCAUCCUAUUCCUGUAACCAGGUUUUAUUAGAGAAUUUAGAGUCUUGUUUUGAUAGAUAUAUAAAUACUAAAAAAAAAAGGAGCUUUGAUGCCACUUAACAACUACAAGGGUUUCCCGAUUACUAUAUUCUUCCAUCUAGGAAAUGAGCUCCUUUGUCCCUUGACACAACAGUCUUCUCCUUUACAUUUCUUUAUGCUGAGGCCUAAAUUGUGUGUUCAAUACACAAGUAGCAUGAAGCUGCCAUGAUUGAAAUUGACGUUCUGCCAAAAUUUGUGAGGCACAAUAUUGGUGGUACACGAUAGGGAUCUACUUUCUAUCUGUUUGCUAUUUUAGUUUGAAGUGAUUGUCUACAAGUUGUUACAUAUUUUGCAGUUGUGUGCAAAUACAUCAUUGGUUUGACUAUCAUAAUCAUAUUUGUAUUGUAAGUAUUUAUUGGUAUUUGUGGUUGGAUUAUUCAAAGGGCAUCCAUAUUUUAUCAUAGCCUGAAUAUAUUCUGAGUUAAAAACUUGUGGAUGGAUUCAAAUGGUCUUAACAUGUAUUUUGAAUAUUUUUAGAAAAUGAAGCACCUGCAAUGACAAAUUUACCAGGCACUUUUCUAGUGGCAAUUGGUCUACGACUGAAAACUUCA